Molecule: ribosomal RNA, 487 nt
Filed under: uncultured bacterium
Lineage: Bacteria
Description: bacterial SSU rRNA
Rfam family: Bacterial small subunit ribosomal RNA
Source: RNAcentral
AACGAACGCUGGCGGCGUGCUUAACACAUGCAAGUCGAACGUGAAAGGCUUCGGCCGAGUAAAGUGGCGCACGGGUGAGUAACGCGUGGGUAAUCUGCCCUUGGGCGGGGGAUAACCUCUCGAAAGGGGGGCUAAUACCGCAUGAGACCACGGCUUCUCGGGGCUGUGGGAAAAGGUGGGUCGCAAGGCCUGCCACCUGAGGAUGAGCCCGCGUACCAUUAGGUAGUUGGUAGGGUAACGGCCUACCAAGCCGACGAUCAGUAGGGGGUGUGAGAGCAUGGCCCCCCCACACGGGUACUGAGACACGGACCCGACUCCUACGGGAGGCAGCAGUAAGGAAUAUUGGUCAAUGGAGGCAACUCUGAACCAGCCAUUCCGCGUGAAGGAUGAAUGCCCUCUGGGUUGUAAACUUCUUUAGUCUGGGAAGAAAACAUAUAUUCAUAUAUGUCUGACGGUACCAGAAGAAUAAGCACCGGCUAACUCCGUG